GGGUGACAUCGUACCUUUUGUAUAAUGGGUCAGCGACUUAGUCUGGCGAGCAAGCUUAAGCCGAUAGGUGGAGGCGUAGCGAAAGCGAGUCUGAACAGGGCGUUCAGUUCGUCGGAUUAGACCCGAAACCGAGUGAUCUAGCCAUGAGCAGGUUGAAGGUGCGGUAACACGCACUGAAGGACCGAACCCAUAUCUGUUGCAAUAGAUCGGGAUGACUUGUGGCUAGGGGUGAAAGGCCAAUCAAACUCGGAAAUAGCUGGUUCUCCGCGAAAUCUAUUUAGGUAGAGCGUCGGAUGAACACUCCAGGGGGUAGAGCACUGAAUGGGCUAGGGGGUCUCACCGACUUACCAAACCUAAUCAAACUCCGAAUACCUGGAAGUGCUAUCCGGCAGACACACGGCGGGUGCUAACGUCCGUCGUGGAGAGGGAAACAACCCUGACCACCAUCUAAGGUCCCCAAGUUAUGGCUAAGUGGGAAAGGAUGUGAAGACUCCAAAACAACCAGGAUGUUGGCUUAGAAGCAGCCAUCAUUUAAAGAAAGCGUAACAGCUCACUGGUCUAAUCAAGAGUCUUUGCGCCGAAAAUGUACCGGGGCUCAAGCCAUACACCGAAGCUGUGGGCUCGUCUUUGACGAGCGGUAGCGGAGCGUUCCGUAGGCCUGUGAAGGCGGACCCGUGAGGGCUGCUGGAGGUAUCGGAAGUGCGAAUGCUGACAKKASYRAGCUGAUWRMKSGAGUGAGAGACUCCCUCGCCGAAAGUCCAAGGGUUCCUGCUUAAAGUUAAUCUGAGCAGGGUUAGCCGGCCCCUAAGGCGAGGCCGAAAGGCGUAGUCGAUGGGAACCACGUUAAUAAUCGUGGGCCUGGUGGAGAGUGACGGAUCUCGUGUAUCGUACGGUCUUAUUGGAUUGAUCGUGCGGUGAAGAGGUUCCAGGAAAUAGCCCCACCGUAUAGACCGUACCCGAAACCGACACAGGUGGACUGGUAGAGUAUACCAAGGCGCUUGAGAGAACUAUGUUGAAGGAACUCGGCAAAUUGCACGCGUAACUUCGGAAGAAGCGUGACCCCCAUUUACGCAAGUAGGUGGGGGUGGCACAGACCAGGGGGUAGCGACUGUUUAUCAAAAACACAGGGCUCUGCGAAGUCGCAAGACGACGUAUAGGGUCUGACGCCUGCCCGGUGCUGGAAGGUUAAGAGGAGGGGUGCAAGCUCUGAAUCGAAGCCCCAGUAAACGGCGGCCGUAACUAUAACGGUCCUAAGGUAGCGAAAUUCCUUGUCGGGUAAGUUCCGACCUGCACGAAUGGCGUAACGACUUCCCCGCUGUCUCCAACAUAGACUCAGUGAAAUUGAAUUCCCCGUGAAGAUGCGGGGUUCCUGCGGUCAGACGGAAAGACCCCGUGCACCUUUACUAUAGCUUUACACUGGCAUUCGUGUCGGCAUGUGUAGGAUAGGUGGUAGGCUUUGAAGCGUGGGCGCCAGCUCGCGUGGAGCCAUCCUUGAAAUACCACCCUUAUCGUCAUGGAUGUCUAACCGCGGUCCGUCAUCCGGAUCCGGGACAGUGUAUGGUGGGUAGUUUGACUGGGGCGGUCGCCUCCUAAAGAGUAACGGAGGCGCGCGAUGGUGGGCUCAGACCGGUCGGAAAUCGGUCGUCGAGUGCAAUGGCAUAAGCCCGCCUGACUGCGAGACAGACAAGUCGAGCAGAGACGAAAGUCGGUCAUAGUGAUCCGGUGGUCCCGCGUGGAAGGGCCAUCGCUCAACGGAUAAAAGGUACGCCGGGGAUAACAGGCUGAUGACCCCCAAGAGUCCAUAUCGACGGGGUUGUUUGGCACCUCGAUGUCGGCUCAUCGCAUCCUGGGGCUGGAGCAGGUCCCAAGGGUUUGGCUGUUCGCCAAUUAAAGCGGUACGUGAGCUGGGUUCAGAACGUCGUGAGACAGUUCGGUCCCUAUCUGCCGUGGGUGCAGGAGAAUUGACAGGAUCUGACCCUAGUACGAGAGGACCGGGUUGGACGUACCUCUGGUGGACCUGUUGUGGCGCCAGCCGCAGUGCAGGGUAGCUAUGUACGGUCGGGAUAACCGCUGAAGGCAUCUAAGCGGGAAACCCACCUGAAAACGAGUUCUCCCUAUCAGAGCCGUGGUAGACCACCACGUUGAUAGGCCGGGUGUGGACGUGCGGCAACGCAUGAAGCUUACCGGUACUAAUCGCUCGAUCGGCUUGAUCAUUCU
Molecule: ribosomal RNA, 2217 nt
Filed under: uncultured Rhizobium sp. HF0500_10F10
Lineage: Bacteria; Pseudomonadati; Pseudomonadota; Alphaproteobacteria; Hyphomicrobiales; Rhizobiaceae
Description: bacterial LSU rRNA
Rfam family: Bacterial large subunit ribosomal RNA
Source: RNAcentral